GUAAGUUUUUGUGUGGACAUGUUUUCAGUUCUCUUGGGUGUAUACAUGGAAGUAGAAUUGUUGGGUCAGAUGGUAACUCUGUUUCAUGUUUUGAGAACCUGCCUGACUGUUUUCUAGAGUGGCUGCACCAUUUUACAUUUUGACCAGCAAGGUAAGAGUGUUCCAGUUUCUCCACAUCCUCAAUACCACUUGUUUUUCUUUUUCUUUUUCUUUUCUUUUCAUUAUAGCUAUGUAGUAGGUUGAAUUGCUAUCUCAUUGUGGCUUUUUUUUUUCUUUUUUAAGGGUCUAUGCUUUAAUUUUUUUAUUGUGGCAAAAUAUGCAUAACAUAAAAUUUACUAUUGUAACCAUCUUAAGUGUCCAGUUCAGGGCUAUAAAGUAUAUUCAAUUAUUGUGCAUCAUUGUGGCUUUGAUUUGCAUUUCCCCAAUGACUAAUGAUGUUGAACAUCUUUCCCUGGCUUCUUGGCCAUUUGUGUAUCUUCCCUGGAGAGAUGUCUACACAAGUACUUUACUCAUUUUUAAAUCGUGCUGUUUUAUUGUUGAAUUGUAAACUACACUUUAUAUAUUCUGGAUCAUGGCUCUUUAGCAGACAUGUAGUUGGCAAUAUUGUCUCCCAUUUGGUGGGUUGUCUUUUCACUUUUUUAGUAGUUUUCUCCAAUGCAGAGAAGUUUUAAAUUUUGAUGAAGUUCAGUUUAUCUAUUUUUUUCUUUCAUGGAUUAUGUUUCUGAUAUCAUAUCUAGGAAUGCAUGGCCAAAUCUGAGAUCAUGAAGAUUCACUCCAUGAGUUCUUCUAAGAGUUUGAUAGUUUGGCUCUUACAUUUAGGUCUUCGUUCCAUCUUAAUUUUUUAUCUAGUGUGAGGUAAGGGUAAGUCCUUUCUUAAAAUUCCAUGUCAUAUGUUUAAAAUCAUGAAAAUCAAUUUGGCAAUACCUAUAACAAAUGCACAUCCCUCUCAAUUUCCACUUCUAGGAAUUUACCCUAUAGAAACAUCCUAAGGAUGUAUGUAUAAAGUUAUUCACUGCACCUUGUUAAAAAAUGCAAAGCAUUAUGGAUAACCCAAAUGGCUACCAAAUGGAAUAUUAUGAGGCCAUGGAAAAGAAUACAGGGCUUUGUGUGCCGAUUUGCAAGGCUCCCCCCCAAAUACAAUUCAAUGAAAAACCGAAUUUUUUGUGUAUAAAAACUGUAAUAUGUAUCUACAUAGAAUUGUAGAUAUGCUAUAUGCUAUAUAUGCUUAUUAUAUACAUAGAAAAACUGCAAGUUUUCAUAAAAAUCAAGUAUAGUAGAUUCCUGUAGCACAAGUGGACACUGGGUGCAUAGGCAAGUGAAGAGACUUAUUCCUGUCUACAUUUGAUCACAGUUGUUAAAAAAUGGAAAUGUAGUGCCAAAUGAUUGGAUAAAUACAUGUUAAAUUUUUUAAAAAGUACCUUCUGAAGAAAAAGAGGAUGUGGCAAGAAAGUCACAUUGUCAUGAGGAUUGCACAAAGUUUCCUCCAGUUGAAACACAAGUAUUUUCUUGCCUGUUUUUUUCGUGACUGCCAACAUCCUAAAUACAGUCAGACCAUUGCUGAUUGAGGUUGGAGUUGUGGUCUUCGGCCAUGAAACACAGCAGCAAACUGGUCCCUAGGAUGCGGAACUAACAGCCCUGACCUCAUUCACACAGUAAUGAGCCAGCAUCACCCAGAAGGUUUACCCUUCAAGGAUUCUACAGGAAAAAGUUGUUCUAGAACUUCUCUCACGGAAAGAACACAAACACUUGUGAAGACGCCGUUUCACCAUUUUACCAGCAAGGACCCUGACACUGGAUUCCUUACAUUCCUAGCCCAGGGCAGUGGUGGGUAGGUGCCCUUGAAAGCCGAGACCCUCCCUACCACAUGCACAUCUGUCCGUUACCCUGGAGCAACCAGACAGAGAUGAAAACCUCACCGUGGAUAUUCUACCCCAGUUGACUCUCACGGCAGUUUUGGAGAGCUUGCUCUUGUCUUUCAACAUUUCUAAAGUUGUCUCUUGGUGAUUUUUUUCUCAACCCUUUGAAAAACAGUUGUGGUUGUAUUCUGUUUUCGCCGAAAUAGUGCUCUCCUCUUCCACGUGAUAUUCUCCAUUGAAACAUGUAUUUCCCCUUUUCGAUGCCUAUGGUUAGCUCUGCGGCAGGAGCAAAACUGGUCUCAGACAUGCAAACUGGAGACAGGAAACCCCAAAAUACACAAUGGUGCCUGUGUGCCUUUUAACCCUUUCAGUGUGUAGUAGACCAGAUGACCUGUGCUCACCUGUGAUUCUGAGCGAUACUGCAAAUGGGACUGGCAUUCCGGGAACAAAAGUCUUCCAUGGAAAAGAUGGAGGCACACUGUGAAAAAGGGGAAUACUACAGCCUGGACCGUUUGUUGCCUCCUGUCUGCCUGUGUUUCUUUGUGACUUUACCACCACUGCCGACGUCUGUUCUGGAAGGCUUUCUGAGGACUUGAGCGCAGAAGACAGCUGCUCAGAUGGCUGAGGGACUGCUCCACAAAAGGUAAGGAAGGAAC
Vicugna pacos (alpaca) is the source of this 2512-nucleotide non-coding RNA. Lineage: Eukaryota; Metazoa; Chordata; Mammalia; Artiodactyla; Camelidae. The record is from RefSeq and is a predicted model, not a curated record.